CCUACGGGGGGCAGCAGUGAGGAAUAUUGGUCAAUGGACGAGAGUCUGAACCAGCCAAGUAGCGUGAAGGAUGACUGCCCUAUGGGUUGUAAACUUCUUUUAUAUGGGAAUAAAAUGUUCCACGUGUGGGAUUUUGUAUGUACCAUAUGAAUAAGGAUCGGCUAACUCCGUGCCAGCAGCCGCGGUAAUACGGAGGAUCCGAGCGUUAUCCGGAUUUAUUGGGUUUAAAGGGAGCGUAGGUGGAUUGUUAAGUCAGUUGUGAAAGUUUGCGGCUCAACCGUAAAAUUGCAGUUGAAACUGGCAGUCUUGAGUACAGUAGAGGUGGGCGGAAUUCGUGGUGUAGCGGUGAAAUGCUUAGAUAUCAUGAAGAACUCCGAUUGCGAAGGCAGUUCACUGGACUGCAACUGACACUGAGGCUCGAAAGUGUGGGUAUCAAACAGGAUUAGAUACCCCUGUAGUC
Molecule: ribosomal RNA, 460 nt
Filed under: uncultured bacterium
Lineage: Bacteria
Description: partial 16S ribosomal RNA
Rfam family: Bacterial small subunit ribosomal RNA
Source: RNAcentral